GCAAGCUCUACGUCGUGGGGGCCGCAUGGUGCCGAGAGCGCAGCCCCGCCCCGCCCCUCCGCGCUUAAUGGUUAGUUGGGUAACAGCCAGUGGUGGUAACGCCACGCCACGCACGCGCUCGGCUCCGCGCUUAAUGAAGCAGUAUCUGACAGUGUUGCCCAGGCUGGUCUUGAACUCCUGGCCUCAAAUGAUUCUCCUGCCUUGGCCUCCUAAAGUGCUGGGAUUACAGAAUAUCAGGUCUCUGAGCCCAAGCUAAGCCAUCAUAUCCCCUGUGACCUGCAUGUAUGCAUCCAGAUGGCCUGAAGAAACUGAAGAAUCACAAAAGUGAAAAUGGCCUGUUCCUGCCUUAACUGAUGACAUUACCUUGUGAAAUUCCUUCUCCUGGCUCAUCCUGGCUCAAAAGCUCCCCCACUGAGCACCUUGUGACCCCCACUUCUGCCUACCAGAGAACAAUCCCCUUUGACUGUAAU
This 470-nucleotide long non-coding RNA is filed under the name Pongo abelii (Sumatran orangutan). Its description in RNAcentral is "lincRNA". The record is from RNAcentral. Lineage: Eukaryota; Metazoa; Chordata; Mammalia; Primates; Hominidae.